This 397-nucleotide ribosomal RNA is filed under the name uncultured bacterium. RNAcentral's name for it is "partial 16S ribosomal RNA". It matches the Rfam family "Bacterial small subunit ribosomal RNA", at positions 523 to 918 of the family's 1533-position model. The record is from RNAcentral.
AUACGUAGGGGGCGAGCGUUGUCCGGAAUGAUUGGGCGUAAAGGGCGCGUAGGCGGCCCGGUAAGCCUGGAGUGAAAGUCCUGUUUUUAAGAUGGGAAUUGCUUUGGAUACUGUCGGGCUUGAGUGCAGGAGAGGUAAGUGGAAUUCCCAGUGUAGCGGUGAAAUGCGUAGAGAUUGGGAGGAACACCAGUGGCGAAGGCGACUUACUGGACUGUAACUGACGCUGAGGCGCGAAAGUGUGGGGAGCAAACAGGAUUAGAUACCCUGGUAGUCCACACUGUAAACGAUGAAUGCUAGGUGUAGGGGGUAUCGACCCCUUCUGUGCCGCAGUCAACACAAUAAGCAUUCCGCCUGGGGAGUACGGCCGCAAGGUUGAAACUCAAAUGAAUUGACGGGG